This 168-nucleotide unclassified non-coding RNA is filed under the name uncultured Helotiales. Its description in RNAcentral is "sequence contains ITS1". The record is from RNAcentral. Lineage: Eukaryota; Fungi; Ascomycota; Leotiomycetes; Helotiales.
CAGAGUUCAUGCCCUUACGGGUAGAUCUCCCACCCUGUGUUAUUAUCACUUUGUUGCUUUGGCGGGCCGUCAGGCUCACGCCCGACCACCGGCCCCGGCUGGUGAGCGCCCGCCAGAGGACCCAAAACUCUGAAUUUAAAGUAUUGUCUGAGUACUAUAUAAUAGUUA